GCGGACGUGGUGGAAUUGGUAGACACGCUGGAUUUAGGUUCCAGUGCCGCAAGGUGUGAGAGUUCGAGUCUCUCCGUCCGCA
This is a transfer RNA of Pseudohongiella spirulinae, 82 nucleotides long. It matches the Rfam family "tRNA". From Rfam's summary of the family: Transfer RNA (tRNA) molecules are approximately 80 nucleotides in length. Their secondary structure includes four short double-helical elements and three loops (D, anti-codon, and T loops). NCBI's taxonomy places the organism in Bacteria, Pseudomonadati, Pseudomonadota, Gammaproteobacteria, Pseudomonadales, Pseudohongiellaceae. The record is from Rfam.